This 301-nucleotide ribosomal RNA is filed under the name uncultured bacterium. Its description in RNAcentral is "partial 16S ribosomal RNA". It matches the Rfam family "Bacterial small subunit ribosomal RNA", at positions 509 to 807 of the family's 1533-position model. The record is from RNAcentral.
CAGCAGCCGCGGUAAUACAGAGGGUGCGAGCGUUAAUCGGAUUUACUGGGCGUAAAGCGUGCGUAGGCGGCUUUUUAAGUCGGAUGUGAAAUCCCUGAGCUUAACUUAGGAAUUGCAUUCGAUACUGGGGAGCUAGAGUAUGGGAGAGGAUGGUAGAAUUCCAGGUGUAGCGGUGAAAUGCGUAGAGAUCUGGAGGAAUACCGAUGGCGAAGGCAGCCAUCUGGCCUAAUACUGACGCUGAGGUACGAAAGCAUGGGGAGCAAACAGGAUUAGAUACCCGUGUAGUCCCUGUCUCUUAUAC